CCCAAGCGACAUGCCCCGGCUACACGCGCCGCACCUGGAAGGCCGAAGUUGAAGACGAAUCGUGAGGACAACAAGCGGAUUCCGAACGCCAUGAGUCCACACUCACCAGUCAGAGGUGGAGAUGGUGUAGUAGACCGGCAGCUGACUGGAGCUGGACAGACAGCUGAACUCCUCCAGGCCACACGUCCCCAUGUUGGAGAAGAGCAGCCAGUCCC
This is a long non-coding RNA of Austrofundulus limnaeus, 215 nucleotides long. RefSeq lists it as uncharacterized. NCBI's taxonomy places the organism in Eukaryota, Metazoa, Chordata, Actinopteri, Cyprinodontiformes, Rivulidae. The record is from RefSeq and is a predicted model, not a curated record. The transcript has 2 exons.